CACAAUUCCACUUUCAAAUCACUUCACCAUUCACCAUAGACACAAGGAAACACACACACACUGGGAGAUCCUAUAACCGACAUAAACCAUGUGAGCUACAUGGAGUCCAACGUACAACCCACGUUGGGGAGAGCCGUCCUAUCCUUGCCAUCGGAGUAGGACUAUCGAUAUCAAAUCCACACAAACUAGUGAUCACUAUAUAAAUC
RNAcentral lists this long non-coding RNA (206 nucleotides) under Capsicum annuum. Its description in RNAcentral is "long non-coding RNA (CANN_LNC016235)". Lineage: Eukaryota; Viridiplantae; Streptophyta; Magnoliopsida; Solanales; Solanaceae. The record is from RNAcentral.